RNAcentral lists this ribosomal RNA (848 nucleotides) under Lactobacillus sp. OS72. RNAcentral describes it as "bacterial SSU rRNA". It matches the Rfam family "Bacterial small subunit ribosomal RNA", at positions 64 to 878 of the family's 1533-position model. Lineage: Bacteria; Bacillati; Bacillota; Bacilli; Lactobacillales; Lactobacillaceae. The record is from RNAcentral.
GAACGAAACUUCUUUAUCACCGAGUGCUUGCACUCACCGAUAAAGAGUUGAGUGGCGAACGGGUGAGUAACACGUGGGCAACCUGCCCAAAAGAGGGGGAUAACACUUGGAAACAGGUGCUAAUACCGCAUAACCAUAGUUACCGCAUGGUAACUAUGUAAAAGGUGGCUAUGCUACCGCUUUUGGAUGGGCCCGCGGCGCAUUAGCUAGUUGGUGGGGUAAAGGCUUACCAAGGCAAUGAUGCGUAGCCGAACUGAGAGGUUGAUCGGCCACAUUGGGACUGAGACACGGCCCAAACUCCUACGGGAGGCAGCAGUAGGGAAUCUUCCACAAUGGGCGAAAGCCUGAUGGAGCAACGCCGCGUGGGUGAAGAAGGUCUUCGGAUCGUAAAACCCUGUUGUUAGAGAAGAAAGUGCGUGAGAGUAACUGUUCACGUUUCGACGGUAUCUAACCAGAAAGCCACGGCUAACUACGUGCCAGCAGCCGCGGUAAUACGUAGGUGGCAAGCGUUAUCCGGAUUUAUUGGGCGUAAAGGGAACGCAGGCGGUCUUUUAAGUCUGAUGUGAAAGCCUUCGGCUUAACCGGAGUAGUGCAUUGGAAACUGGGAGACUUGAGUGCAGAAGAGGAGAGUGGAACUCCAUGUGUAGCGGUGAAAUGCGUAGAUAUAUGGAAGAACACCAGUGGCGAAAGCGGCUCUCUGGUCUGUAACUGACGCUGAGGUUCGAAAGCGUGGGUAGCAAACAGGAUUAGAUACCCUGGUAGUCCACGCCGUAAACGAUGAAUGCUAAGUGUUGGAGGGUUUCCGCCCUUCAGUGCUGCAGCUAACGCAAUAAGCAUUCCGCCUGGGG